AUGUUCACUUUCCACUUGAGAAGACACAAAAAUUGUCUUGUCGCUUUAGGAUAAUGUGUUGACUCGCAGGAACUAGUUGCAAUGAACGGCGAUUAAAUUGGUCUGUUUUUUUGUUGGUUAAGCAUGGUAGAUAACGUUUGUUCAAACAAUAGCUUAAAGUGACAUGGUUUUGCCUAUGUUUAUGGUAAAAGCAUCGAUAGAGCUGUACAUUUUUAUAUGCAUUAUGUUUAAGUGAGUUUAUUUAUAUUUCAAACAGGUAUUAUGAAGCUUACAACUUUUAAUUGUAAUACCUAUUAUGAAGUUUAAUUUAAGAGAUGGCGAGUUGGCACCUGUUUUGUAAGUACUUUACUCGUUUUCUCACGUCCAAUAAACGAAUAUGCAGUUUUGGGUGUAAUAUCUUUAUACCGACUUUAUUUUUUUGUUUAGUCUAUGCUAGAAAGAUAAUAUGAAAGUAAAUAAAAGAUGAAUAAAAGAACCAUUAAAUUGAUACUGUAU
RNAcentral lists this unclassified non-coding RNA (495 nucleotides) under Schizosaccharomyces pombe (fission yeast). Its description in RNAcentral is "intergenic RNA (predicted)". The stretch from base 1 to 212 matches the Rfam family "small nucleolar RNA snR95". The record is from RNAcentral. Lineage: Eukaryota; Fungi; Ascomycota; Schizosaccharomycetes; Schizosaccharomycetales; Schizosaccharomycetaceae.